CUGAACGUGACUCUGCCAGCCAAGAUAUCAACCUGAAUUCUAACAAAGGUCUGCUCUGACUCCAUGACCGAUGUCCCUGUCGACACAGGUGUGGCUGCCCGGACUCCUGCUGUUGAGGGUGAGGGUCUGACAGAGGCUGAGGAGGAACUCAAGGCUGAGCUGACCAAGGUGGGAGAGGAAAUUGUCACUCUACACCAGGUCCUGGCAGCCAAGGAGACGCACUGCGGAGAGCUCAAGAACAGGCUGGGCCUCUCCACCCCGGGGGUUUGAAACAGACGCUGUCCAGGAGCUGCCAUGAUGUGCAGGUCUCUAACAGCUAUAGGCAGACUAAGGAAACUCUUUCACAGGCAGGACAGAAGGCUUCAGCUGCCCUGUCGACAAUGGGCUCUGCCAUCAGCAGGAAGCUUGGAGACAAUGAGGAACUCUGCAACCUUCAAGUUGUUUGAGGACCGAGUUGGGACCAUAAAGUGUAUGGCUGUGGGCCGGCUGCGACAGAACGGCAGUGACAACCUCCCUUCCUCAGUGGGGAAUGGUGACAAGCCCCUGUCGGAUCCCACACUUUUUUAAGCCCGAGGUUGCUUCGCCCACCGCAGAGCACACGCAGCACACCCUCAGCAUCACAGCCUGCGCAGCGGAGCAGCCAGCCAGGCAGAUGAGCAGAGCCGGCCUGGACCACAGUCCUGCCCAUCCACACGGAGAUGCGGCUGCUGCGUUCGCAGGAAUUAGAGAACACAGUCUUGUACACAGAUGUUUUACACUAAAGUUUGUAGAUGAACCAGAUCACUGUGCCGUCCUUCCUAGGGGUGCAGGAAGGGGACAGGGCGGAGGAUUUGAGAGAAUUGAGCCAAUACCCAGGCUCCCUUUGGGAAUCUUGUUAGCCCACUCAGAAUGUUGAAGGAUUGAAGAGUCCUAAGC
RNA transcript from Cebus imitator (Panamanian white-faced capuchin), 915 nucleotides. It is a transcript of the gene named tumor protein D54-like, with no coding region annotated. The transcript is spliced from 2 exons. Lineage: Eukaryota; Metazoa; Chordata; Mammalia; Primates; Cebidae. The record is from RefSeq and is a predicted model, not a curated record.